UUUCACUGUGCAGGAUUAGAUA
This 22-nucleotide non-coding RNA is filed under the name Arabidopsis thaliana (thale cress). Lineage: Eukaryota; Viridiplantae; Streptophyta; Magnoliopsida; Brassicales; Brassicaceae. The record is from RNAcentral.